RNAcentral lists this ribosomal RNA (301 nucleotides) under uncultured bacterium. RNAcentral describes it as "partial 16S ribosomal RNA". It matches the Rfam family "Bacterial small subunit ribosomal RNA", at positions 509 to 809 of the family's 1533-position model. The record is from RNAcentral.
CAGCAGCCGCGGGAAUACGAAGGGGGCUAGCGUUGUUCGGAUUUACUGGGCGUAAAGGGCGCGUAGGCGGACUGAUAAGUCAGGGGUGAAAUCCCAAGGCUCAACCUUGGAACUGCCUUUGAUACUGUUUGUCUUGAGUUCGAGAGAGGUAAGUGGAACUGCGAGUGUAGAGGUGAAAUUCGUAGAUAUUCGCAAGAACACCAGUGGCGAAGGCGGCUUACUGGCUCGAAACUGACGCUGAGGCGCGAAAGCGUGGGGAGCAAACAGGAUUAGAUACCCGCGUAGUCCUGUCUCUUAUACA